This 253-nucleotide ribosomal RNA is filed under the name uncultured bacterium. RNAcentral's name for it is "partial 16S ribosomal RNA". It matches the Rfam family "Bacterial small subunit ribosomal RNA", at positions 524 to 776 of the family's 1533-position model. The record is from RNAcentral.
UACGGGGGGGGCAAGCGUUGUUCGGAAUUACUGGGCGUAAAGAGCUCGUAGGCGGUUUGUCGCGUCUGCCGUGAAAGUCCGGGGCUCAACUCCGGAUCUGCGGUGGGUACGGGCAGACUAGAGUGCAGUAGGGGAGACUGGAAUUCCUGGUGUAGCGGUGAAAUGCGCAGAUAUCAGGAGGAACACCGGUGGCGAAGGCGGGUCUCUGGGCAGUAACUGACGCUGAGGAGCGAAAGCGUGGGGAGCGAACAGG